CGGGAUAUGGCGCAGUUUGGUAGCGUGCCAUCUUGGGGUGAUGGAGGUCGCAGGUUCGAAUCCUGCUAUUCCGA
Molecule: transfer RNA, 74 nt
Filed under: Bolbitis deltigera
Lineage: Eukaryota; Viridiplantae; Streptophyta; Polypodiopsida; Polypodiales; Dryopteridaceae
Description: tRNA-Pro
Rfam family: tRNA
About the family: Transfer RNA (tRNA) molecules are approximately 80 nucleotides in length. Their secondary structure includes four short double-helical elements and three loops (D, anti-codon, and T loops). Further hydrogen bonds mediate the characteristic L-shaped molecular structure. tRNAs have two regions of fundamental functional importance: the anti-codon, which is responsible for specific mRNA codon recognition, and the 3' end, to which the tRNAs corresponding amino acid is attached (by aminoacyl-tRNA synthetases). tRNAs cope with the degeneracy of the genetic code in two manners: having more than one tRNA (with a specific anti-codon) for a particular amino acid; and 'wobble' base-pairing, i.e. permitting non-standard base-pairing at the 3rd anti-codon position.
Source: RNAcentral